GGUCUCAAAACUGGCAUUCUUUCUCCAGUCAAAUGGCGAAUAGGAAGACAUUGAAGUCUCAGAAUUCUCCAGCAACACUGAGGAGAGCAAAGCAGUCUGAGAUUACAGUCUGAUAUCUGGUGGAGUCAGGAUUGAUUUUCAGUAUGAGGGUUUUAAAUUCCAGUUGUCUCCUAAGGAUAUGAAAACACUAGAUGGCCUGAAUAAAAGUUUUCAAUGUCUUCCAGCUAAGUUUUUUGCUGAGCACCCAGAAUAUCCAUUUUCUGAUGAAUAUUAACGUGAGGACAUAGUCAUGACACUGCCUGAAGUCACUGAGAGAUGUUGGUCAUGUGAAUCACAUGUUGUUUGGUGGAUGUCACAUUUUCAGCCAACCUAGGCUGCUUGGCAACUCUGACAUUCAGUUGAAGCUCCAGACAAUGACUUAGAAGA
Mesocricetus auratus (golden hamster) is the source of this 426-nucleotide long non-coding RNA. RefSeq lists it as uncharacterized. The record is from RefSeq and is a predicted model, not a curated record. Lineage: Eukaryota; Metazoa; Chordata; Mammalia; Rodentia; Cricetidae. The transcript is spliced from 3 exons.